RNAcentral lists this ribosomal RNA (464 nucleotides) under uncultured bacterium. Its description in RNAcentral is "bacterial SSU rRNA". It matches the Rfam family "Bacterial small subunit ribosomal RNA", at positions 29 to 507 of the family's 1533-position model. The record is from RNAcentral.
AAUGAACGUUGGCGGCGUGGAUUAGGCAUGCAAGUCGUGCGGCAAGGAAGACUUCGGUCUUCCCUAGAGCGGCGGACGGGUGAGUAACACGUGGGCAACCUGCCUUGUAGAGGGGAAUAGCCUUCCGAAAGGAAGAUUAAUACCGCAUAAUAUUACACUUUCGCAUGAAGGAGUAAUUAAAGGAGUAAUCCGCUACAAGAUGGGCCCGCGGCGCAUUAGCUAGUUGGUGAGGUAACGGCUCACCAAGGCGACGAUGCGUAGCCGACCUGAGAGGGUGAUCGGCCACAUUGGGACUGAGACACGGCCCAGACUCCUACGGGAGGCAGCAGUGGGGAAUAUUGCACAAUGGGGGAAACCCUGAUGCAGCAAUGCCGCGUGAAGGAAGAAGGUCUUCGGAUCGUAAACUUUUGUCUUCAGGGACGAUAAUGACGGUACCUGAGGAGGAAGCCACGGCUAACUACGUG